Molecule: non-coding RNA, 178 nt
Filed under: Anaerolineae bacterium
Lineage: Bacteria; Bacillati; Chloroflexota; Anaerolineae
Description: 6S RNA
Rfam family: 6S / SsrS RNA
About the family: E. coli 6S RNA was the first non coding RNA to be sequenced, but its function was unknown until recently.
Source: RNAcentral
GCCAACCUGCCGUGUUCGUGAUGUAGCCUAAACCCGUCUCGAGCCAACGUUUUUCACCCGGAAGCGUGCAUCUAGCAGUAAGGUGAUAGGCUCGCGUAGCCAAGACCCCAACGCAUAUCUCGCUCCCACCUGCGAAAGCAGGUUCAAGACAUCGCUCACACGACACGGCGGGCGCUUU